Molecule: long non-coding RNA, 408 nt
Organism: Polistes dominula (European paper wasp)
Lineage: Eukaryota; Metazoa; Arthropoda; Insecta; Hymenoptera; Vespidae
Source: RefSeq, a predicted model, not a curated record
AUAGUGUGAUACGUUUAUGAUCGGAACGAUCGUAGAAAAACGGAAGUAAAGAGAAGAGGCAGAGUUAGAGGAGGCAGAAGCAGAGGAAAAGGUGGAACAAGAGGAAGAAGGGUUGCUUGAAGACUACUUCGUGCGGCCCACUUUCUUUACUUUCACGCGGCCGCCGCGUUCUUCUUUCAUCGCCGUGCUCGCCUGACUUCGUAACUCAACGAAGAGGAGAAAGAGAAGGAGAAGGAGAAGGAGGAGGAGGAGGAGAAGAAGGAGGAGUAGUGUACCACAGUAAGAGGAUGAGGUGGAAAGGGGGUGUUGUGCAAGGGAAAGAGUUCGGGUAGGGGGUGGGUCGUAGAGGAGGAAGAGGAGGAACACGGGAAAAAGAACCGCCAAAGAUUAUACUGUUCUCUCUCUCUC